GUGAAGGUGGCUCAGUGGUAGAGUGCUUGCCUCGCAUGCAUGAGGCCUGGGUUUGACUCCUUAGCACCACA
RNAcentral lists this transfer RNA (71 nucleotides) under Dipodomys ordii (Ord's kangaroo rat). It matches the Rfam family "tRNA". Rfam says of the family: Transfer RNA (tRNA) molecules are approximately 80 nucleotides in length. Their secondary structure includes four short double-helical elements and three loops (D, anti-codon, and T loops). The record is from Rfam by way of RNAcentral. Lineage: Eukaryota; Metazoa; Chordata; Mammalia; Rodentia; Heteromyidae.